Non-coding RNA from Vicia faba (fava bean), 240 nucleotides. The record is from the annotation of a GenBank genome assembly. Lineage: Eukaryota; Viridiplantae; Streptophyta; Magnoliopsida; Fabales; Fabaceae.
AUGUUUAAGUUAAUCGACCGGGGACAAUACAGCAAGAACGGGCAUCUCUCUGAGACAGUUUCUGCAGCAACUUCUAUACUUUCAUAUGUGGAACCCUCACUGGUUCUUCCAUUUGUGGCAUCUCGAUUUCAAAUGGCCCUUGAGAUGAUGGCUGCCACCCAUCAGUUGAAAUUGCAGUUAUGUCGGUGGCAUUUGUUGGGCGUUAACUAUUUUAUACAUCUGUAUCAGCUUCUUCCGUGA